GGACCCGCACAAGCGGUGGAGCAUGUGGUUUAAUUCGAUGCAACGUGAAGAACCUUACCAGGCCUUGACAUCCAGAGAACAAAGCAGAGAUGCAUUGGUGCCUUCGGGAACUAUGAGACAGGUGUUGCAUGGCUGUCGUCAGCUCGUGUCGUGAGAUGUUGGGUUAAGUCCCGCAACGAGCGCAACCCUUAUCCUUACUUGCCAGCACUUCGGGUGGGAACUUUAAGGAGACUGCCGGUGACAAACCGGAGGAAGGUGGGGACGAUGUCAAGUCAUCAUGGCCCUUACGGCCUGGGCUACACACGUGCUACAAUGGACAGUACAGACGGUUGCCAAACCGCGAGGUGGAGCUAAUCUGAGAAAGCUGUUCGUAGUCCGGAUUGCACUCUGCAACUCGAGUGCAUGAAGUCGGAAUCGCUAGUAAUCGCGAAUCAGAAUGUCGCGGUGGAUACGUUCCCGGGUCUUGUACACACUGCCCGUCACACCAUGGGAGUGGGUUGCACCAGAAGUAGCUAGCUUAUUAGGGCGGUUACCACGCUGUGAUUCAUGACUGGGGCGAAGUCGUAACAAGGUAACC
RNAcentral lists this ribosomal RNA (577 nucleotides) under uncultured Suttonella sp. RNAcentral's name for it is "bacterial SSU rRNA". It matches the Rfam family "Bacterial small subunit ribosomal RNA", at positions 917 to 1501 of the family's 1533-position model. The record is from RNAcentral. Lineage: Bacteria; Pseudomonadati; Pseudomonadota; Gammaproteobacteria; Cardiobacteriales; Cardiobacteriaceae.